Paramisgurnus dabryanus is the source of this 215-nucleotide small nucleolar RNA. RefSeq annotates it as small nucleolar RNA U3. Lineage: Eukaryota; Metazoa; Chordata; Actinopteri; Cypriniformes; Cobitidae. The record is from RefSeq and is a predicted model, not a curated record.
AAGACUAUACUUUCAGGGAUCAUUUCUAUAGUUUUUAACUAGGAAAUGUGUUUCGAAAGUGUUGGGUCUCCCAAACUACGAUGAAGAGUAUCGAAACUCCUUUCUGAGCGUGAAUCGGAUGCAAAGUAAUGAUUAAAUUCAUACGCUUUGUGUUAUUGAUGAACGUUCAACGUUGCUUACCGCGACGUGGAGGAAAGGGGUUUGAUCAGAGUAGC